CACACACACACACACACACACACACACACUUUGCAUUAGCAGCUCAUGCUUCAGUGCUCUGAGAGACUUUAUAGCUCUGUGACUUUAACACUUCAUGACUGAAAGCUGCUGCUCAGCGACUUCACCCACAGCAACCAUGAGUUUGAUCAUCAUCUUCAUCUGCACACUGGCCCUCUGCACUCGAGGAUCCCAAACUCAGGCCAUUGUGACUCAGAGUCCUGCAGUGAAAUCAGUUUCUCCAGGAGAUUCGCUCACCAUCAGCUGUAAAACUAAUAUUGCUGUUGAUAACGACUGUGAUAAAAGCUAUGAUUGUUUGUCUUGGUAUCAUCAAAAAUCUGGAGAACCUCCCAAACUCCUGAUCCGUUUAGCUAACACAAGAGCAUCAGGAGUUUCAGAUCGUUUCAGUGGCAGUGGAUCUGGAACUGAUUUCACUCUGACCAUCAGUGGAGUCCAGAAUGAAGACGUUGGAGAUUAUUACUGUCUAACGGAUCAUUAUAACACAUUCAAAUCCUCAUCGUUCACACAGUGUUGGAGCAUCGUACAAAAACCUCAGUGAGCGUGGCAGCUGCAGCUGCUAAUAGAGAUGAAAUCGCACAAUGGCUCAACACACACACACACACACACACACACACACACACACACACACACACACACACUCAUUAUUCAAACCCACUUUCUGAGCUGUGAGGCUCCUUGACAUAUCAGGACUGCAUUAUCUGCAUUUAAUUGAACUUGGAAACCAAAAACCUGUUCCAGCAUGGUGAUGCCCCUGUGCACAAAGUGAGCUCCUU
Non-coding RNA from Silurus meridionalis, 791 nucleotides. The record is from the annotation of a RefSeq genome assembly. Lineage: Eukaryota; Metazoa; Chordata; Actinopteri; Siluriformes; Siluridae.